CCUACGGGUGGCAGCAGUAGGGAAUUUUCGGCAAUGGGGGGAACCCUGACCGAGCAACGCCGCGUGAACGAAGAAGUUAUUCGUAAUGUAAAGUUCUUUUAACAGGGAAGAAAGAGAAAUUUGACGGUACCUGAAGAAUAGGCUCCGGCUAACUACGUGCCACCAGCCGCGGUAAUACGUGGGGAGCGAGCGUUAUCCGGAAUUGUUGGGCGGAAAGGGUGCGUAGAGGGAAUGGUAAGUCUGUUGUAAAAAGGCUGGGCUCAACCCAGUAGGGCAAAAGAUACUGCAAAGCUAGAGUAUGACAGAGGCAAGGGGAACUACAGGUGUAGCGGUAAAAUGCGUAAAUAUAUGGAAGAACACCAGUGGCGAAGGCGGCUUGCUGGGUUGAGACUGACGUUGAGGCACGAAAGCGUGGGGAGCAAACAGGAUUAGAUACCCGGGUAGUC
This 446-nucleotide ribosomal RNA is filed under the name uncultured bacterium. RNAcentral describes it as "partial 16S ribosomal RNA". It matches the Rfam family "Bacterial small subunit ribosomal RNA", at positions 338 to 795 of the family's 1533-position model. The record is from RNAcentral.